RNAcentral lists this ribosomal RNA (1488 nucleotides) under uncultured prokaryote. RNAcentral's name for it is "partial 16S ribosomal RNA". It matches the Rfam family "Bacterial small subunit ribosomal RNA". The record is from RNAcentral.
AGAGUUUGAUCCUGGCUCAGGAUGAACGCUAGCGGCAGGCUUAACACAUGCAAGUCGAGGGGACAGGGGAUUUCGGUUCUGCUGACGACCGGCGCACGGGUGAGUAACGCGUAUACAACCUACCCAUAUCAGGGAGAUAGCCCGGAGAAAUCCGGAUUAAUACCCCAUAAUAUUUACGAGAGGCAUCUCUUGUAUCUUAAACCUUCGGGGGAUAUGGAUGGGUAUGCGUGCCAUUAGUUAGAUGGUGAGGUAACGGCUCACCAUGACGACGAUGAUGGCUACGGGGUCUUAAAGGAUGGUCCCGCACACUGGUACUGAGACACGGACCAGACUCCUACGGGAGGCAGCAGUGAGGAAUAUUGGUCAAUGGGCGCAAGCCUGAACCAGCCAUGCCGCGUGAAGGAUGACGGCCCUACGGGUUGUAAACUUCUUUUAUACAGGAAGAAAAUGCCUUACGUGUAAGGUACUGACGGUACCGUAUGAAUAAGCAUCGGCUAACUCCGUGCCAGCAGCCGCGGUAAUACGGAGGAUGCAAGCGUUAUCCGGAUUUAUUAGGUUUAAAGGGUGCGUAGGCUGAAAAUUAAGUCAGUGGUGAAAUCUUGUAGCUUAACUACAAAACUGCCAUUGAUACUGGUUUUCUUGAGUAUAGUUGAGGUAGGCGGAAUGUGUAGUGUAGCGGUGAAAUGCAUAGAUAUUACACAGAACACCAAUUGCGAAGGCAGCUUACUAAACUAUAACUGACGCUGAUGCACGAAAGCGUGGGUAGCGAACAGGAUUAGAUACCCUGGUAGUCCACGCCGUAAACGAUGAUUACUCGUUGCAUGCAAUACACCGUAUGUGACUUAGCGAAAGCAUUAAGUAAUCCACCUGGGGAGUACGUUGGCAACAAUGAAACUCAAAGGAAUUGACGGGGGCCCGCACAAGCGGAGGAACAUGUGGUUUAAUUCGAUGAUACGCGAGGAACCUUACCUGGACUUAAAUGUAGCGUGACUUUCCCUGAAAGGGGAUUUCUCUUCGGAGCACAAGUUACAAGGUGCUGCAUGGCUGUCGUCAGCUCGUGCCGUGAGGUGUCGGGUUAAGUCCCAUAACGAGCGCAACCCCUAUUGUUAGUUGCUAACAGGUCAAGCUGAGGACUCUAAUGAGACUGCCACCGUAAGGCGUGAGGAAGGUGGGGAUGACGUCAAGUCAGCACGGCCCUUACGUCCAGGGCUACACACGUGUUACAAUGGUAAGUACAAAGGGCAGCUACCUGGUGACAGGAUGCUAAUCUCAAAAACUUAUCUCAGUUCGGAUCGAAGUCUGCAACUCGACUUCGUGAAGUUGGAUUCGCUAGUAAUCGUAUAUCAGCAAUGAUACGGUGAAUACGUUCCCGGGCCUUGUACACACCGCCCGUCAAGCCAUGGAAGUUGGGGGUGCCUAAAGUCGAUAACCGCAAGGAUCGGCCUAAGGUAAAACUGGUGACUGGGGCUAAGUCGUAACAAGGUAACC